GACGAACGCUGGCGGCGUGCUUAACACAUGCAAGUCGAACGGGCCUUGUCCCCUUUUUUUUGGGGGUGGGGUUAGUGGCGAACGGGUGAGUAACACGUGAGUAACCUGCCCCUCACUUCUGGAUAACCGCUUGAAAGGGUGGCUAAUACGGGGUGUUCUGGCCUGCUCGCAUGGGUGGGUUUGGAAAGAUUCGACCGGUUUUGGUUGUUUUGGUGGGGGAUGGGCUCGCGGCCUAUCAGCUUGUUGGUGGGGUGAUGGCCUGCCAAGGCUUUGACGGGUAGCCGGCCUGAGAGGGUGGGCGGUCGCACUGGGACUGAGACACGGCCCAGACUCCUACGGGAGGCAGCAGUGGGGAAUAUUGCACAAUGGGCGCAAGCCUGAUGCAGCGACGCCGCGUGAGGGAUGGAGGCCUUCGGGUUGUGAACCUCUUUCGCCAGUGAAGAAGGUCCUGCUCUUUGUGGUGGGGUUGACGGUAGCUGGGUUAAUGAAGCGCCGGCUAACUACGUG
This 507-nucleotide ribosomal RNA is filed under the name uncultured bacterium. RNAcentral's name for it is "partial 16S ribosomal RNA". It matches the Rfam family "Bacterial small subunit ribosomal RNA", at positions 28 to 507 of the family's 1533-position model. The record is from RNAcentral.